AUAAGAGGUCCCGCCUGCCCUGUGACUAUAGUUUAACGGCCGCGGUAUUUUAACCGUGCGAAGGUAGCGUAAUCACUUGUCCUUUAAAUGAAGACCUGUAUGAAUGGCAUCACGAGGGCUUAGCUGUCUCCCAUCCCUAGUCAAUGAAAUUGACCUCCCCGUGCAGAGGCGGGGAUAACUCCAUAAGACGAGAAGACCCUAUGGAGCUUUAGACCUAAAGUAAAUCACGUUUAACAUCCUGCAAUAAUAGUAAAAACUUACUGAUACUUACUGAAGUGUCUUUGGUUGGGGCGACCGCGGGGUAAAACACAACCCCCAUGUGGACCGGGGAUACAAUCCCUAACACUCAGAGCCUCUACUCCAAGUAACAGAAAUUCUGACUUUUCUGAUCCGGUAGCACCGAUCAACGAACCGAGUUACCCUAGGGAUAACAGCGCAAUCUCCUCUCAGAGCCCAUAUCGACGAGGGGGUUUACGACCUCGAUGUUGGAUCAGGACAUCCUAAUGGUGCAGCCGCUAUUAAGGGUUCGUUUGUUCAACGAUUAAAGUCC
RNAcentral lists this ribosomal RNA (550 nucleotides) under Trisopterus luscus. RNAcentral's name for it is "partial 16S ribosomal RNA". It matches the Rfam family "Bacterial large subunit ribosomal RNA", at positions 1845 to 2596 of the family's 2925-position model. Lineage: Eukaryota; Metazoa; Chordata; Actinopteri; Gadiformes; Gadidae. The record is from RNAcentral.